GUUUUUCAAGUUUUUUAUUGUUAUAGGGUUAGAGUUGUGAUCAUGAACUGUGUAUGCACUGUUCUCCUCUCAUGAAGGACUAAACUGUGUUAGUAAUGUGAUUGAUAUAGUUCGUGAUGUUGUUUGAUGUGUCACUCAGACUUAUUGUUUGUUUGUCUUUUUAAUUUUUUAUUUGUACUGUUGAGAUUACAUAAAUUAUAUUAAGGUUGUUGAGAGUACUUUUUGUUUCUGAAUAUUUUUUUUCCAGUUUAGUUGUGUAAGUUGUGUGUAUUAAGUAAUAAUAUUUUUUAUUCUUAUUAUGUUGGUUAUAUGUUUUUUUUUAAAACUUGUUGCUUUUACCAGACCUUUAAAACAAAUACAUGAAGACUUGUAGAAAUAACUAUAAAAUG
This 389-nucleotide long non-coding RNA is filed under the name Brassica napus (rape). RNAcentral's name for it is "long non-coding RNA (BNAP_LNC014782)". Lineage: Eukaryota; Viridiplantae; Streptophyta; Magnoliopsida; Brassicales; Brassicaceae. The record is from RNAcentral.